GCGGUUACCCGGGCCCAGCUCAGCGGCCGUCCCGCCAGAUUUCCGCCCCUCGGGCCUCGAACCCGCGGGUACUCGGGUUGUGACGGUGUUUGUGAGUAUUUGUCUCCCCAACCCCAGAUAUUCCCAGCUUAUCCUGAGUCCAAGCCCUACCCAAUGUGGAAGAUAUGAAAUAAUGUUUAUAUUAAAGGCCAAAGUACAUUCACAUUUCCUCUGGGACUCCCUUCGCGGCAUGAAUACCCGCACUCGGGUUAAACUUCGUAAUUACGGUGCUAACUCUGAAAAUGGGUUCUUUAACGGAGGUUUAUUGAAAGCCUGUGUGCUCGGGGCGAUGCUUGGUGUCUGAGGAUGAAGUGCUUUCACCUGGAUAAGGACGGAAAGCGAGUUUGGCCUGCUCAUCAGUGGACGCAGGAAAAUGACAGACCUCUGGGCUAGCAUGAAACACAUUUGAGGACAAAUAAUAAAGAUUAAAAAAAAAAAGAAAAGAAAAACUGACCCCAGAAAGAUGAAGGAAAUGAGAACAGCAGUAUUCAACCCACAAACUUGUUUGCCUUUGGAGAACCGAGGACCGCCGCGACGAUGCUGCCUCCUGGUGGCGGAGCCUGGCAAUCAGGCCUAGUGGAGCUUCGCAUCCAUUGGGUGUAUUCUGAACCCAAAUUGGCGCCGGCUGCUCAGCAUCACUUUGUUCCCAAAUACAAGGAGAAAUAACACUUGGACGUGGGAAAGAAAAAGAACUUCACAGAAGAGGCCAGCUGAAGCUGAAGACAUUUUUACAGGUGUGAGAUGUGAAAUUAGCCAGGAAUGAUGCAUCUGAAAUAAAGAUAAAAAGAUAUCACUGUUAGAGAGUACCAAGAAUCUUUAUGUACACUGAUAUGACAGUAAGUAAAUAUGUAAGUACCAUUUGUUUUUACCCAUUACCCCAAAUCUUCAUUAACAAAGCAUCAUACCUUAUGUGGGGUGAUGAAUGUAAUAAUACAACUUUUAAUCAGAUUGUUUACAUAAUCAGGGUCCUUGCAAAAACAUUUACUUGGGAUCCUGCAUAUUCUCAAUGUGGUUCUGGAAGCAGUACAGUAAUACCAAGGGUUAAGAGUAUGGGCUCUGGAGUCAGAAUACCUAAAUUUCACUUAAUUAAU
Vicugna pacos (alpaca) is the source of this 1130-nucleotide non-coding RNA. Lineage: Eukaryota; Metazoa; Chordata; Mammalia; Artiodactyla; Camelidae. The record is from RefSeq and is a predicted model, not a curated record.